This is a long non-coding RNA of Capsicum annuum, 528 nucleotides long. RefSeq lists it as uncharacterized. The record is from RefSeq and is a predicted model, not a curated record. Lineage: Eukaryota; Viridiplantae; Streptophyta; Magnoliopsida; Solanales; Solanaceae. The transcript is spliced from 2 exons.
CCCUACCCCAUGUUUCACCGAUUAUAUAAAGACCAACUGAUGAUGCCUUUCCUUAUAUUCAUAGGCAAAACAAGAAAUAUGAAUAUGAAGAACUCUAUCAACUUCCAAUUAGUCCCUAUACUUUUCAGAAUAUGAAGAACUCUAUCAACUUCCAAUUAGUCCCUAUACUUUUCAUUUUCUUUCUGCUACACCAUCCAACAUUCUUGAUAUUGGCAAAUUCAGAUGAAACUACACAUAGCUUUCUUGUAAAAGUCCACAAUGACAUGAAGACUGAGGUAUCACUAAAAUGUCUGGUUAAUGGCAGGGACAUGAGACUUCAUCCAGUUUUUUCUGGGAUAUUGGAAGGUGUGAUGGUGGAGAGUGCAUUUGGUAUCUUAAGGAUGAUGGUAUCUAUCUUGGUCAACCAAUUUUACAAUUUGCUUGGAAUGUAGCUAUUGAUGUUUGAUUUUUAUUUUCCCCUGGAAAUAAUAUGAAUGGGAAUAUUAGAUUAAUUACUUAAUAUUAUGAGUUGUGCUUGUUCUUGUUUAA